Molecule: transfer RNA, 76 nt
Filed under: Candidatus Bathyarchaeota archaeon
Lineage: Archaea; Thermoproteati; Candidatus Bathyarchaeota
Description: tRNA-Lys
Rfam family: tRNA
About the family: Transfer RNA (tRNA) molecules are approximately 80 nucleotides in length. Their secondary structure includes four short double-helical elements and three loops (D, anti-codon, and T loops).
Source: RNAcentral
GCUUCCGUAAUUCAAUCGGGAGAAUAACUGACUUUUAAUCAGGAGGUUGCUGGUUCAAGUCCAGCCGGGAGCACCA